Molecule: long non-coding RNA, 1169 nt
Organism: Rhinopithecus roxellana (golden snub-nosed monkey)
Lineage: Eukaryota; Metazoa; Chordata; Mammalia; Primates; Cercopithecidae
Exons: 3
Source: RefSeq, a predicted model, not a curated record
ACUGUCCCAAGGGUGCCUAUGGAUCUGGCUGCACUUCAGAAUGUCAGUGUGUGGAGAAGAAUACCCUGGAAUGCAGUGCCAAAAAUGGUAGUUGCACCUGCAAAUCUGGUUACCAAGGCAACAGAUGCCAGAAAGAUGGCCUCUAGGGACCAGAGUGCUGGUUCUCCUCUGCACCCUGUGAAAAUGGAGGUCAGUGCAACAACAACAACAACAAAAAAAAAAAAACUGGAAAUUGUGACUGCACUCCUGGUUACACAGGAAAAUCCUGUACCAUAUUGAGAUGCAUUUCCCUUACCAAUCUGGCUCUCAGCAGGUGGUCCAGCCUGAUGAAGUACAAGCAAAAUGUCAGCUCCCACAGAGAAGUGCGACAGAGGCGACAGUGCAGCACUGACAGGCCUUUCAAAAAGCUAUUGUGCAAAUUCAGUUUUAAAAUAGGGAUGUGGUUGAGGACUGAUGGGUAUUUCAUUACCAAUGUGUUCAUCUCACCAUCGUCCAAGAGAAUGAGAGCGGGUCAUAGUACAGCUGAUACAAAGCCAUUAAGUUGAGUAAAGGUGGAUUUGGUCUUUAGAAGAUUUGUCUUCCUAUCUGUAUUUUCGAGAAGUUAGUAUUCAAAUUAGCUGUCAUUUUUAGAACAUACCUACUAAAGAGGGGCCAAGAAUUGUUCUUUUUUUCUACUUGAUUACCUUCCGGUGUCUCAAGUAGAUCAUUAAAAACAAAGUUAAUCUUGUCAUUACUUUAUAAACCUCACUGAGCUACUGAUACUGUUCAUAAUGAAGUCUAUAGCACUAAAGACCCAUCAUCAGCCUGUCUCUAGCCAGCUUUUGACCAUGCUCACGUAUACCCUACAUAUUUUAGUCAUUCCCCCAACAUCAUGUACAUUUAAACCAUGGUGCCAUUGUUCAUUGCUCUUUCCUGUAAUACAUGUUUUCUUCUUCCAUUUUUAUUGCCUCAAGCAUUUAUUCCUCAAGCGUUUUUAUUUUCAAGUAUAUGUAAACAAACAAAAUUCUACAGCAUUUCCUUCCAUAGCAGCACCAAUCGUAUUGUAUUAUAAUUAGUUGCCUGCUAUUAAGACUACUUAUCAUUAAUUUUUAUACACCCCUUUGCAAUAUACAAGGGGUACUCAAUAAAGAUUUGCUAGGUUCAAUUAAAGAACAUUUUUGACAACUUAA